AUGCUCGUGCAGAGAGGAUUGAUGGAUCAAACACGAGACAUGUGUUGCAUUUUUUGUUUCAACUGUGAUGAAACCUGUCAGCGUGUUUUCUUCAAUUGUGAAUUUGCUAGCAAGGUAUGGUUGCUCGAGUUUUAUACUAGUACAUAUGGGAAAAAACAACUGUUAAGCUCCAUAACAGUGCUAAGUUGCAGCAAAAAGUAA
Molecule: non-coding RNA, 201 nt
Organism: Vicia faba (fava bean)
Lineage: Eukaryota; Viridiplantae; Streptophyta; Magnoliopsida; Fabales; Fabaceae
Source: the annotation of a GenBank genome assembly